AAGGAUCAUUAAUGAAGUUUGGGCUUCGGCCCUCUCUCUUCUAAAACACUUGUGAACUUACAUCGUUGCUUUGGCAGGUUUCCUUCUGAGUUGAAAACUCAGAAUGGUUAAAUCGAGAGAUGCCUGCCAAAGACAUUCAAUAACCCUUUUUAUAUUGUCUGAUUUUUGUUUUAAACAAAAUAUAAUAAAACUUUCAACAAUGGAUCUCUUGGCUCUGGCAUCGAUGAAGAACGCAGCGAAAUGCGAUAAGUAAUGUGAAUUGCAGAAUUCAGUGAAUCAUCGAAUCUUUGAACGCACAUUGCGCCCUCUGGUAUUCCGGAGGGCAUGCCUGUUUGAGUGUCAUUAUCCUCUCACAGGACCGAUUGGUUUCAAACCGUCCGGUUCCUGUUGAUGUUGGAGGCUGCGAAAGUUCUCACUUGUGGGAAACACGCUCCUCUCAAAUGCAUUGGUGCGGCCCGCUGCACAGUCUAUACAACGUUCUAGGUUCGUCCAACUCGUUGCUCGACUGCUGCAAACCUAUUGGUGCUGCACCUUAAGCCCGCCUUGUGCCUCGUGCUCUUGGCAAAACACAUCAAGUAUUGACCUCAGAUCAGGUAGGAUUUACGCGCUGAACUUAA
Molecule: ribosomal RNA, 617 nt
Filed under: Taphrina sp. JS-42
Lineage: Eukaryota; Fungi; Ascomycota; Taphrinomycetes; Taphrinales; Taphrinaceae
Description: eukaryotic LSU rRNA
Rfam family: 5.8S ribosomal RNA (bases 189-342)
Source: RNAcentral